Molecule: non-coding RNA, 3754 nt
Organism: Camellia sinensis
Lineage: Eukaryota; Viridiplantae; Streptophyta; Magnoliopsida; Ericales; Theaceae
Source: RefSeq, a predicted model, not a curated record
CCUCGUAUAAUUGUUUACAAAAAAAAGCUAAACUUGGAGGACUUUUAGCACCACUGGAGACUUGAGGAAAGCUUGAAAAGACUCAUCUACUAUUUGGACUUGAUUCUUAGUUGCUUAGAGCUUUGGUAAAGAGACAUGGCUAUGGCUAUCUGUGAUGCUUUGAUUUCCAUUGAAGGAAAAGUUAUUGAAUUAUUGGUGAAGCCAGUUGGGCGUCAAUUCGAUUAUGUCUUCUAUCGAGUGAAAUACAUUGAAGAUCUACGAGAGCAAGUACAAAAUUUAGAGGCUCAGAGAAAAGAUGUGCUCGACUCCAUCAAUGCAGCAAAAAGGAACAGAGAAGAAAUUCUAGUAAGUGUCAAGAAUUGGAUUGACAAAGUUAAUGGGUUCAUUCUUGAGGCUAAAGAGUUUCUAGAAGGUGGUACCAAUGUGAAUUUGAAAUGUUUCAACGGGUGGUUUCCUGAUUUGGUCACAAGAUGCCGGCUAGGUAAGGAAGCAAAAAAUAAAGCAGAGGAGGCUAAAGAGCUGGGAAAAGAAGGCAAAUUCAAUAACAACAUAUCCAAACCUGCACUUCCCUUGGGGAUAGAAUCCAUACCCUCUGAACAGUUCGUGCCUUAUGCUUCUAGAAAUUCAACAAUGACGAGUGUAAUGGAGGCACUAAUUGACGAAAAGAUUAACAUCAUUGGAAUACAUGGUAUUGGGGGAGUUGGAAAGACAACUUUUGUGAAAGAAAUCGGCAAAAAAGCAAAAUCUAAUAAGCAUUUUGAUGAAGUUGUGAUGGCUGUAGUGUCUCAGAACCCAGACAUUAAAAACAUUCAAGGUCAAAUAGCUAGCAUGUUGGGUUUCACCAGAUUAAUUGAUCAACAAAGUGAAAUCGAAAGAGCAAGCAUGUUGUAUGCAAGACUCAAGGAUGUGAAGAAGAUCCUUGUUAUAUUGGAUAAUGUUUGGGCCAAACUUAAUUUGGCAGCCGUGGGUAUUCCAUUUGGAAAUGAUCACCAAGGUUGCAAAAUCAUAAUCACAACACGGCGUGAACAAGUAUGCAAUUCCAUGGGAAUGGAAAGGCUGAGGACAAAGAUUGUUCAUCUCGGUGUUUUAUCUGAAAAAGAUUCAUGGGACUUGUUCAAAAAGAAUGUUGGCGAUGUUGUUGACUCUAAUGUGUUGACUGUUGUCGCUAAUGAGGUUUGUAAAGAAUGUGGAGGCCUGCCAAUAGCACUUGUUACGGUUGGAAAUGCAAUGAAGGGAAAAGAUGACCCUACUUUAUGGGAUGAGGCAGCUCGAGAAUUGAGAAAAUCAGUGCCAACAAACAUUGAAGGUGUCAAUCAACAUGUGUACAAAAGUCUUAAGUUGAGCUAUGACUACCUGCAAGAUGAGGAAGCCAAGGCUUGCUUCUUGCUUUGUUCUCUAUUUCCCGAGGAUCAUAACAUCUUAAUAGAAGACUUGGUACGAUAUGGGAUGGGGUUGAGGGUAUUCAAAAAUGUUGAUACAGUGCAUGAAGCCAGGGGCAGAGCAAAGUCAGUAACCAACAAUCUCAUAGCUUCCUGUUUGUUAUUAGCUAGUAAACAAGAUUGCAUCAAAAUGCAUGAUGUUGUACGUGAUGUUGCCAUAGAUAUUGGAUCCAAAAAGUAUUUUGUACGAGCUGGUUGCAAUUUGAAUGAUUGGCCAAAGAUCAAUAGUUUGGAUCAAUACACUGGCAUAUCGUUGAUGAGAAAUCAAAUCAGUAACCUUCCUGAGGUCUUAGAAUGUCCAAAGCUCCAAAUAUUACUAUUACAACACAAUAAAAAUGAAUGGUCAUGUUCACAUGAAUUCUUUUCAAGGAUGAAUGCACUUAGUGUUUUAGAUUUGAGCCAACAACUUGACUACAAUUUUGACUGUAGUCCUGAUCUAAUUCGUAGUCCUGAUGCUUUCAAUAACCAAACGUGUCUUCGAACAUUAGUCCUUGACAGAAUUAAGUUUGGGGACACUAAAUAUCUUAGACAGUUAAAGACGCUUGAAGUCCUUAGCCUUCGGUGUGCCUUUUUUUCCGAGGCACCAAAUGCAAUAAGGGAGUUAACUAAUCUAAGGUUAUUGGACAUGACUGAAAGCCAUCAUGAAUUUCUGAUUCCGGCCACAAUGGUAUUGCCUUUAUCCCAUUUGGAGGAGUUGUACUUGUUUGGUACCAAAUAUUCUAGAAGGAUCGGAGACUCGGACCCUGCAAUAGAAGACGCUGACCUUGCAGCGGAAUACCCAAUAGAAGGCCCAGAAGACCCUGACCCUGCAGUAGAAGUAGCUGCUGCACUAAGAUCUUGGCCUCGCCUAAAAGUGCUAACCAUUUCCAUACCUGACAUUGCGUAUAUACCCAAGGACUUUGUUUUUCCUGAGCUGGAAAGUUUUAUUAUUUUUAUUGGAAAAUCGAGUUCAGAGGCGAGCGUUGAAAAUUAUUCCCCAAAUUAUUUGGUACUUGGAAAUUUGGUUGGAACCAUGGUUUAUUGGAGUAAAUGGCUAAAGAUGGUGUUGAAGAGAGCUACACGUCUAAAGAUUGUAGAUUGUUCUCAAUUCGAAUACUUGAUCAACAUAGAGGAAUGGGGGAUUUCAUCACAUGCACAACAACUGGAUCUGCAAUUGCUCUUCAACCUGGAAGAAUUGGAACUCAGCUGUUUGGUUACUUUCAAAGGGAUAUGUGCAGCAAGUGCACUUACUACUUCGAGUUGGGUGUGCUUCCCAAAGCUCAGAAGUUUGAAAGUUGGCGAUUGUCCGUCACUAUCAACUGUUCUUCUUCCAUUCAAUUUGCUUCAAAGGCUACAACAUUUGGAGAAGCUUCGGGUAGCAGAAUGCGAGAAAUUGGAACAAGUAUUUGAUUUUGGUUCUGAAGGAGAAGGCAUGAAGCUGCUUUCUAGUUUGAGAGAUUUAUAUCUAAUCAAGUUGCCUAGAUUGAAGCAUAUAUUGAACUGCUCCAGUCGUCAACAUGUGCAACUCUGCAACCUAAGAUUUAUGUCUGUCGUUUCAUGUGACAAACUGAAAUAUGUCUUCCAACCUUCCAUAGCUCAAGCUCUUCAUCAACUUGAAGUGCUUUGGGUAAUUAAGUGUGAAGAAAUGGAGGAAAUUGUUGCUGCGAAGCAAAACGAAGGGCAACAAGAAGAAGAAGAGAGAGUGUUCAAAAGUCUCAAAAAACUCUACCUUCAAGAUCUUCCAAAUCUAAGUGGUUUCUGCACAGGAGGAGACGACUGUCCUUUUGAAUGGCCAUCCUUGGAAGAACUUACAGUGGAAAACUGCCCCAAAAUGAAGACUUUCGCUGCCACUACUUCUGGCAGCACACCAAAACUGAAGGAAGUUUAUUCAGAUGAAUCCGUGAUACCGCUACAGGGGAUGGACUUGAAUCAGUUUGUGCAAACCCAUAUCAUUUCAAAGCCACCUAAGGCAAGACAGAUUGGUACUCUUUGAAGAUGAAAUCCAAGUUGAAUCCUAAUUAGAUUGUGAACUAGAUUAUGAAUUUAUGAGGAAUAACUCUCAUGAUUGUCAACCAUAAACAAUGCUGAGCUACUGCCUAAGGUUAUGUGAUGUCUACCUUAGGAUUUUAUUGUGUAAGGACAUACGCUUCCUAUGAUUUGUGUUUCUAAAUGAUUGUCUUGCUUUGCAAUAUCAAAACUCCUACUCUAACUAAAGGAAUGUUUACCUAAUGUGUGCUAAAGAAAGAGUGAAUAGAGAGGGAGGGGGGGUACCUAGUGUGUGUAAUUUUACUUUCUAUGCAUUGUAAUGGAGCUUGUAUCCUAAAUUAUUUAUCUCA